Molecule: unclassified non-coding RNA, 230 nt
Filed under: plant metagenome
Description: partial contains small subunit ribosomal RNA, internal transcribed spacer 1, and 5.8S ribosomal RNA
Source: RNAcentral
UCUCCGUAGGUGAACCUGCGGAGGGAUCAUUACAGAGUUCUCGCCCUCACGGGUAGACCUCCCACCCAAUGUUACCGUUACCACUGUUUCUUUGGCGGGCCGCCGGGCCCUGCUCGGCCGCCGGCUCCGGCUGGCGCGCGCCCGCCAGAGGCCCUUUAAACCCUGAAUGUCAGUGUCGUCUGAGUACUAUACAAUAGUUAAAACUUUCAACAACGGAUCUCUUGGUUCUG